RNAcentral lists this small RNA (247 nucleotides) under Pongo abelii (Sumatran orangutan). RNAcentral's name for it is "retained intron". Lineage: Eukaryota; Metazoa; Chordata; Mammalia; Primates; Hominidae. The record is from RNAcentral.
AAGAGAGGGGACAGCAGGUGCGUCUGGUUUACAGCGUCGCUGAAGAUACCUUGACCUGUGGACUCAGUUCCUUUUGUGCAGCAUUUCCAGUGACUUUUAUUCUCCUGCAUUCCGCCAAACAGAUUACCUAAAACCUCGGGCAGAAGAGGAGAGGAGGAUAGCAGCAGAGGAGAAGAAGAAGCAGGAUGAACUGAAACGAAUUGCCAGAGAAUUGGCAGAAGAUGACAGCAUAUUAAAGUGAGUGACC